UGAAGCACCGUUUCCCAUAAGAACACUGAAGUUAAGCUAACUGAACCUGGUCAGUAGUUAUAUGGGUGACUGCUUGGGAAUAUCAGGGGUUGU
Acanthosepion pharaonis is the source of this 93-nucleotide non-coding RNA. The record is from the annotation of a GenBank genome assembly. Lineage: Eukaryota; Metazoa; Mollusca; Cephalopoda; Sepiida; Sepiidae.